GCAAUGGUGGUUCAGUGGUAAAAUUCUUGUCUUCCACGAGGGAGACCUGGGUUUGAUUCCUGGCCAAUGCA
RNAcentral lists this transfer RNA (71 nucleotides) under Loxodonta africana (African savanna elephant). It matches the Rfam family "tRNA". From Rfam's summary of the family: Transfer RNA (tRNA) molecules are approximately 80 nucleotides in length. Their secondary structure includes four short double-helical elements and three loops (D, anti-codon, and T loops). Further hydrogen bonds mediate the characteristic L-shaped molecular structure. tRNAs have two regions of fundamental functional importance: the anti-codon, which is responsible for specific mRNA codon recognition, and the 3' end, to which the tRNAs corresponding amino acid is attached (by aminoacyl-tRNA synthetases). tRNAs cope with the degeneracy of the genetic code in two manners: having more than one tRNA (with a specific anti-codon) for a particular amino acid; and 'wobble' base-pairing, i.e. permitting non-standard base-pairing at the 3rd anti-codon position. The record is from Rfam by way of RNAcentral. Lineage: Eukaryota; Metazoa; Chordata; Mammalia; Proboscidea; Elephantidae.